GUUUCUCCUCUGCAAUGCCCCUCUGCCAUGCCGCCCUGCUUUGGAGCCAGUUGAUUUGGGGCUGAAUCCUCUACAAACUGUGAACCGUUUUUUGCAUGUGUUGCUGUAUAUGUGCUGCCUUGCUGCAUGCCCAAAAGCAAUGUGACCGAACGGUCAUGGACUGACAGCUCCGAAACUGCUUUUAUCCUUCUGUACCAUGCCAGGCACCGGGAGCACAAAGAAACAAGGAACACUUCUGUCCUCAUGGAGCUCCUGGUCUAGAAAGACAGACAUAACAGGAAUUAAGGACUAUGAUGCAGGAGGAAUGCGUCCCAGAAGUGACUAACUGUCGGCAGAGUUACAGGUCCUACAGCCAGCAGGGUAAAGGAGAACUCCAAGGAAAUGAUUACAGAUAAGGGGACAGAGGCCCACUAACAGCACGGAUAAGACAGGAGGCACAGGCGUGAGCUGCAAGGGACUCACAUGUGUGCACCCAGCUUGUCCACAGCCUGCGGUAGCUUCCAGCAAGUGUCUUCACAAGGCAGAGGAGGACAAGUUAAAACUUGAAGAGAAGCCACGUACAACUUGAAGAUCUCUGCAAAAUUUAAGGGACGUUACAUCACUCACACAGCAUAAACCGGGACAGUCCAUCUGAGAGGACCAGAAGAGAGAGAUUAUGCCAGGGAGUCAGUCACAGGCCCGAGGCAGAGCCAGAGCCAGUGCUGCUAAGCGUCUGUCACGAACCUUUGGGGUGUGACCCUUGACAACACUUGAUACAACCCACACUUCUUUAUCUACUCAGGGGGAGAAGUGUUGGGUGGCCAGACUCAGUGCUAGCAGAAUUCCUUAUAAAGAGAGAGAUAACUUCCAUAUAUGUGGUUCUUCUUUUUGGAGAGGGUGGGCGUGAAGAGAGUUUUUAAAAGACCUUUAAAUUGAUGUGCUAUACUUGCUAAUCCAUGACCUAAAGAGAAAUACAUCUCCACACAUUCUACCUCGAUAGCUUGCUAAUUUUCAGAAAGAAUUACAUGACAAAUAUAGCUGAACUCUUUCUAUUAACAUUAUAGUGAGGUUUAAAACAAGGUUUAACUUUCCAGCACCUAUCUAUCUCCAAGUUCAGGGUGCUUCCCCGAACAACAAACUAUACCUAACUAAAACUAACAACUAACCAUACACUCGAAGGAGUCUGGUAAAUCCAAGCUGAGCAGCUCUGACAUUACAUUCCGGAAUCCACCAUCUUCAAGGCAACUGUAGCCUCGGGCACA
Molecule: long non-coding RNA, 1241 nt
Organism: Heterocephalus glaber (naked mole-rat)
Lineage: Eukaryota; Metazoa; Chordata; Mammalia; Rodentia; Bathyergidae
Source: RefSeq, a predicted model, not a curated record